RNAcentral lists this long non-coding RNA (576 nucleotides) under Olea europaea subsp. europaea. Lineage: Eukaryota; Viridiplantae; Streptophyta; Magnoliopsida; Lamiales; Oleaceae. The record is from RNAcentral.
GUCAAACUUUAAUUUUAAUCACGUAAAUUAUGAAAUUCACAAUUUUUUUAAUCAAAAUGUGCUAAUUUAUAUCAAACCGGCCCUAAGACUUUACACCAUUAUUGACCUAGAAAUUUACCAAGUAAUCCAAUCUAAUCAUAGUGAGAUAAUUGCACAUUCAAUCAUGACAAUCAAGUUAUAAAAUAACAAUACAAGAAAAAAUUUGACAUGACAAACAAGGAGGGAGUAGAGAGUUUUUUUUUUUUUUUUUUUAUAACUCAGGUGUCCAAGUUUCGCCUGACUAAUCCUGAGGAAUAGCGGCCUUUCCCCUUGAUUCACCACCGAGGUAAAUCUAGAUGCGAACACAGCUUAUACACACUUGGGGCGAACAUUCGGGAUGUGAUUCUCCUUCCUGUAGACCUCCAUUUACGACGUGCAGACAGAACCCCGGAGAAGCGACAAAGCGCAACAUAACUUUGCCUCCACAGGACAACUGCCUUCCAACAAAAAUGUUGCCUUCCAGCUGCUGCGAGGAUUCAAACCUCCAAUGCUCCGUGUGGAACCCUCCUGCCUUACCACUGCACCAUGUCCUUAGAG